UCCUUACACUUUUAUCAAAAUGAUUUAAUUGAAAGGUUGAGUUUAGCCCAGGACACUCAGGGCACACGGCAGGGUAUAGCAUGCACUGGAUGGCAAUCUAUCAUAUAGCACAAUUGCACACACACUUGCACCCCUUCACACACCAUGGACAAUUUAGAGCUGCCAAUCAGCCUACAAUGCAUGUCUCAGAAAUGGUGGAGGAAUCCGGAAAACCCAAAAGAAACUGCCAUGGCAAAGAAAAAACAUGCACACUCCAAACACACCUGGGGAGGCUGCAAUCACUUGCCAAACCUGGAGGUGUGCUUAAUACCAAGCCUCAUUUAUUUAUUUAUUUGUUUGUUUAUUUAUUUCAGUUUUAGUACAUAAUCUCAUAAAAAUCCACCAUUAAAUUAAACAGACCAACAAAUACUUCACACUGACCUUUCCAGAUUAACCAGUUAGACAGAGUCAGUACACGUGAGCAACACAACUCAGCAACUCCAUUUUGUGACAAGGGUUUGAUUUAACACACCAAGUGUCUUGUUCUGUUAUCUGGAGAAGGAGAAAUGACCAAUGCUCCAACAUGAGCGUGUCUGAAAAACAGGACUUAAACAAAUAUGAGAGUAUUAUUGGAGGUAAGAGAUCAGACUCACCAGACCCCAGCUGACAGAGACAGAGACUGUUCUGCUGUUUGUUCACAGAACAAAAAAGAAAUUAAACAUCAGAAGAAAUAAGUUGGAGUCCAUAUUCAAGGAGCUGGGACACAAAGUCAUCACUCUGAUGAGCUGAAGAGGUUUAAAGAGCUCCUGAGCUCCUGAGUCCAGAGGGAAUCUGCUUCCCUCUGCUCUCCUUUGGAUAACCUCUCGACCAGGAGCAGCCAAUCAGAUCCCUCCUGAGUGUGUAGACCAGGUAACAGAGUUACGAGGCUUCAGUGAUCCUCAGAAAGAGGAAUACUUCGGGAAGAGGAUCAGUGAUCAGAGCCUGGCCAAUAAAAUUAUCAAUCAUCAAUAAAAUCAUGUCUGAUUUCCAAGGCUUUGCAGAGUGAGAAUGGAUACCUGGACCUGUUCCUUCGCUUCCUUCUGGGUCUCUCACUGGAAUCCAAUCAGACUCUUUUACAGGGCUUAAUGCCAUAGACAGAAACCAGCUCUCAAAGCAAACAGGAAACAGUUAAGUACAUCAAAAUGAAGAUCAGGGAGAAUCCAUCUCCAGAGAAAUCCAUCAAUCUGUUCCACUGUCUAAAUGAACUCCAUGAUCAUUCUCUAAUUCAGGAAGUGCAAAUGUACCUGAAUAGAGGAAAUUACAGGUGUCUUACUGGAACCAGACUCUCUCCUGCUCAGUGGUCAGCUCUGGUGUUUGUGUUAUUAAACUCAGAACAGGAGGUGUUUGAUUUGAGUAAAUUUGACCCAUCAGAGGAGUGUCAAAUCCUCCAGAAAAGCUGUGUGAAUAUUUUUGUAGUAUAAAUAUUUCUGUAUGGUGUUUAAAUAAACCUCUGCACAAUUAUGUAUUUCUCUAUAAUUGAUGAAAAAAGUGAUUUACACAAAAUAACUGCAUGCAUUAAUGACUGCUUUUUUGUGAAAGACACUUUUUCCUUUAUUGUUUUAUUUGGAACGACAUUGAACAGAACUACCACAAAUAAAAACAAGAAAAACACAAUACAGUCAAUACUGGAUAUAAUUAAAAUUUAGAAAUAUAUGAGCCCAGAGAAGAAUACACAUCAACUGUUUUGCUGUCUCUUUGAAAUUCAGCAUGUAAUUCACUGUUAAGUAAUGCCGGGUUCACACUGCAUGACUUUUCAGUCGCCGACUAGUUUUGUAAAAUGAAGGCAAAGUGGAGCGCGUGCACACGAGUGUUAAUCGCUCAGUGUGAAUGACCAAAAACUCCAUCUGACCGAAUCGCUGAUGAGUCGCCGACUCCCGUGAAAUAUUUGGCAUGCUAAAUAGCUGGACCUGUCAGCAACUCAAAGUCGUGCAGUGUGAAAGGAGUUCUGACUGAAACAUACCUUGGUGAUGACCUACAGCCAUUGAGAGAGCAAGAUACAGGACAGCGGUCAGUCCGGGGAGGGUUUAUAGACCACAAUAUCAGAAAGCAUGGCAUCGGUUGGGGCAUAAUACUAUAGUUUAAUAGAAUUUAUAGGUUUUUAUCAGACAAAAAUGUCUCAAAUAUAGUUAUAUCAGAAUAAAUAAGCUUUACAAUUACAUCAAACAGAAAUAUUUGCUUGACCAGCCGCAUUAGCAGCAGCACAUUGCAAAAUUAUUCAUCUGUUCAAUUAUGCAGAACGCACAAUCCUUGUUUCCCGCACUGGACAAACUUUUUGCGGGAUAACAUUUCAAGUCUCGCACGAGAUCUCUGACAUCACGUGUGAUCUGCCAUUAUUUCCUUAUUAUUUUAUGCGUACGUUCGGUUAAACGUAGUUUCCGUACCAGACAGAGAUGUCGGUGAUUCUUCCUACUGUGAAGUCAUGCAGUGUGAAAGCUCCUGUCACCAAUCCAUCGUGCAGUGUGAACACAGCAGAGACUAAAUGCUACCCUAGAUAGUCGUGCAGUGUGAAAACAACCAUUAUCCGAUGACUGUGGAAAUUGUGCAGUGUGAACCCGGCAUAAGACUAGUGUGUACAGUUCUAUAAUUUUUUUUAUUUAUUGUAAUAAAAUGCACUAUAUCUGCAGUGUUAGUUGUAGAAACAUGAACACAGAUCAGUAUGUAGCUGAGAGAAUGUGGAAUGUAGAAAGAUGUCCCUGCUUAUGUAAAUGUUCUGAUGCUCUUAUCUCUUAUCCCCUUAUCUUUGUGUGUGAAUAAACAUGUCAUGGAUGGCUUGGUUAAUUCCCUCUUGGAACAUCAGGGGGCAUUCCAGCAGGGGUUUGUUAUACCCUGUGCCAUGUGUCUUUAUUUAUGUUUUGUGUUCUCACGUGUUUUGCCCUGCCCGAUCCUUAGCCCAUUCCCACCUCUGCACACUUGUCCCUUGGGUUUCACUAAUUACCUCCCCGAUUUAUACCGGUUGUCUUGCAUGUGUUGUUUGCUGAGUCCUUGUCAUUGGGUGCUGUUUUGUUACUCAGUGUUCUCUGUUUUAUCUUGUUGGUUUUGUAUCUUGUUCUGUAUUUUAAUUCCUAGU
Long non-coding RNA from Hemibagrus wyckioides, 3085 nucleotides. RefSeq lists it as uncharacterized. Lineage: Eukaryota; Metazoa; Chordata; Actinopteri; Siluriformes; Bagridae. The record is from RefSeq and is a predicted model, not a curated record. The transcript has 4 exons.